GUGCCUAACACAUGCAAGUCAACUUGACUGAAGGAGCAAUCUGACAGUAGAGUGGCGCAAGGGUGCGUAACGCGUAAGUAACUUGCCCAAGGUAAGGAAUAACGUCGAGAAAUCGGCGCUAAUACCUCAUAAUGCAGCGGAUCCGCAUGGAUAUGUUGUUAAAGGUUUACCGCCUUGGGAUAGGCUUGCGUCUGAUUAGCUAGUUGGUGUGGUAACGGCACACCAAGGCUACGAUCAGUAACUGGUCUGAGAGGAUGAUCAGUCACACUGGAACUGAGACACGGUCCAGACUCCUACGGGAGGCAGCAGUGAGGAAUAUUGGGCAAUGCUCGAAAGAGUGACCCAGCAACGCCGCGUGGAGGAUGAAGGUAUUCUAUAUCGUAAACUCCUGUGAGAGCAGACGAAAGACAGAUUAUUAAUCUGGAUGACUGUAUGCUCAGAGGAAGCCCCGGCUAACUACGUG
This 463-nucleotide ribosomal RNA is filed under the name uncultured bacterium. RNAcentral's name for it is "bacterial SSU rRNA". It matches the Rfam family "Bacterial small subunit ribosomal RNA", at positions 44 to 507 of the family's 1533-position model. The record is from RNAcentral.